This 489-nucleotide ribosomal RNA is filed under the name Lasiodiplodia theobromae. Its description in RNAcentral is "eukaryotic LSU rRNA". The stretch from base 128 to 281 matches the Rfam family "5.8S ribosomal RNA". Lineage: Eukaryota; Fungi; Ascomycota; Dothideomycetes; Botryosphaeriales; Botryosphaeriaceae. The record is from RNAcentral.
AGCUCCGGCUCGACUCUCCCACCCUUUGUGAACGUACCUCUGUUGCUCAAGGCGGCUCCGGCCGCCAAAGGACCUUCAAACUCCAGUCAGUAAACGCAGACGUCUGAUAAACAAGUUAAUAAACUAAAACUUUCAACAACGGAUCUCUUGGUUCUGGCAUCGAUGAAGAACGCAGCGAAAUGCGAUAAGUAAUGUGAAUUGCAGAAUUCAGUGAAUCAUCGAAUCUUUGAACGCACAUUGCGCCCCUUGGUAUUCCGGGGGGCAUGCCUGUUCGAGCGUCAUUACAACCCUCAAGCUCUGCUUGGAAUUGGGCACCGUCCUCACUGCGGACGCGCCUCAAAGACCUCGGCGGUGGCUGUUCAGCCCUCAAGCGUAGUAGAAUACACCUCGCUUUGGAGCGGUUGGCGUCGCCCGCCGGACGAACCUUCUGAACUUUUCUCAAGGUUGACCUCGGAUCAGGUAGGGAUACCCGCUGAACUUAAGCAUAUC